AGGAAAUUGAAGUAAAAGUUUAAAAAAUGGAUCUCGAAAGCGAAUUUGGAGAAGAUACAUUGCCGCAUUCAACAUGGGACUUCGGAAAAGAGCUGCCAUAUUCUAAAAACUCCGAAAGCCAGGAAGCAUCGAGUGAUGAAUUUACCCAAAUAACACCAGGACACGCUGUCGCUCAAGAAGUUUUAGUAGAGGACUUAAAAUGUUUAAACUUAUCGGAAGCUUCUUUCGAAGCCGCAGCUCAUAUUGUAAGAGAAAAACAAUAUAUUUUUGGAGACAUUGAGCAAAUUAUUUGUAAACGGAAAAAUGGCACUAUUCAAGAAUACAUAAUGUGUUGUUUAGAGACUUUCAAGAAGAAAACGUUGGUACCAGUAAUGUUUGAUAGCGUUUAAAAAGGGAAAGUGUUGAGUGAGUUUUUGUUUCACCUCAACAUAAUCCCAGAAUCUGUAGCUGAAUAUCUUCGAGCAGCUGUAGAUCAAGUAGCAGAUUGUGUCAAAAAUGUACACGAGUUGUGGAGUUAUUUGUGCUCCUAUAGUGUAAAAUGCACAAGAAAGCUGGCGGAAUAUGUUGACGUUUUUUCAUUUAUGAUUGAGCAUAUAAAGAAAUUUACUUUCGUGAAUCAUGAUGAAUACAUGCCAGAAUUUUGGAUUAUCUACAAAAUGCUGAAGGCAAAAGAUACUGAAAAGCAAGAGGCGCUUUAUGGUAUCAUUGGUGAUUGGCAAAU
Molecule: long non-coding RNA, 721 nt
Organism: Physella acuta
Lineage: Eukaryota; Metazoa; Mollusca; Gastropoda; Physidae
Source: RefSeq, a predicted model, not a curated record